CCUACGGGUGGCUGCAGUGGGGAAUAUUGCACAAUGGGCGCAAGCCUGAUGCAGCCAUGCCGCGUGUGUGAAGAAGGCCUUCGGGUUGUAAAGCACUUUCAGCGGGGAGGAAGGCGGUGAGGUUAAUAACCUCACCGAUUGACGUUACCCGCAGAAGAAGCACCGGCUAACUCCGUGCCAGCAGCCGCGGUAAUACGGAGGGUGCAAGCGUUAAUCGGAAUUACUGGGCGUAAAGCGCACGCAGGCGGUCUGUCAAGUCGGAUGUGAAAUCCCCGGGCUCAACCUGGGAACUGCAUUCGAAACUGGCAGGCUAGAGUCUUGUAGAGGGGGGUAGAAUUCCAGGUGUAGCGGUGAAAUGCGUAGAGAUCUGGAGGAGUACCGGUGGCGAAGGCGGCCCCCUGGACAAAGACUGACGCUCAGGUGCGAAAGCGUGGGGAGCAAACAGGAUUAGAUACCCGAGUAGUC
RNAcentral lists this ribosomal RNA (465 nucleotides) under uncultured Klebsiella sp. RNAcentral's name for it is "bacterial SSU rRNA". It matches the Rfam family "Bacterial small subunit ribosomal RNA", at positions 338 to 795 of the family's 1533-position model. Lineage: Bacteria; Pseudomonadati; Pseudomonadota; Gammaproteobacteria; Enterobacterales; Enterobacteriaceae. The record is from RNAcentral.